Amphiprion ocellaris (clown anemonefish) is the source of this 1213-nucleotide long non-coding RNA. RefSeq lists it as uncharacterized. The transcript is spliced from 2 exons. The record is from RefSeq and is a predicted model, not a curated record. NCBI's taxonomy places the organism in Eukaryota, Metazoa, Chordata, Actinopteri, Pomacentridae.
CUACAGAUUUCUUUAUCUACUUUUUUUUUAACGGCAGAGACUAGAGCAAGACGUAUAUUUUCAUCAGAUCGUGUGGAGCAGUAACUUCCCUAAAAGUUUAGUUCCAGGUAGUUUUCCUUGGAGUUUUGCACUAUGGAGUCUUUUACCGCUGAGAAAGCAGAGAUAAACCGCUGAGUGAUAUCUUUCUUACGGUUCCCGUGGGAUUAAGCUCCGGUUGGGUUUUUUUGGAGACUGUUUAAAGUGGAUGCUGAACGGCGAGCCAGAUUCCAGUGAGCUUCGUAAAGCGAGGAGUGGAUCAGGACUCAUGGAGGGUGUGAGAACUCGACUCUGCUUCACAGUGCGGCAAAAAGGAAAAGGACACACUCGUCUCUUCUGAAAUCCAGCUAAGACAUUCUGAACAAAAUCAUACUACCCGGGUAGAUGAACUGAACUGAACUGAAUACACACACACACCACACAUUGUCACAGUGUCCAUUUUUUAUUUUUAUUUUUUGUCUAUUGUUUUCCAAGUGCACUUGACAGCAAAUUGUUAUGUUUACUGGUACUGUUCUGUUGGGAUUAGUACAGAGUUAAACGGUCAUUUAUUGGAUCAUUUUGAUGGUUUGGUGAUCAGUACAAUUUAAGGUUUAUCAUUUUGAAAAUAAAUGUCAAAUGAAAGCUGUUUAACAAAAAAAUAUUGUCCUUGUCCAACUAUCCUUCUUGAGCGAACCUAACGUUACCAUUGCCAGAGAUAAAGCCAAUAUACAUACACUAAAUUGUAUUAUUUUGUGAGAUCAAGUUUCUUACUGUAGUAGUUCAUACUUACCCUUUUGCUACAUUGAUUCUACUACAUGUUAUAGAAGCAUCAAAAGUUUGAGGUUCUGUACAGAUAUUCCAAAAGAUUAAUUUGUAGUUUUACCUGUUCACUGUACAAGAGGAAAAGUCAGAAGAUUGGCAAAGUAGUCACCUUACGUCCUCUGUAGACCAUGAGAGCCUGUAUAAAACUUUCUGAGAACCCAGUUGCUCAGUGUUGAAACCAAUUUUAUCCAACAAAAAUAUUCAAAGUGGUGAAACAACCAGCUGAGUAAAUCAAACAGCAAAACUGUCUGUGGAACAUGUAUUUCCUACUCUGUCGACAAAUGAUAACAAAAUCAGUGUUGUCAUAUCACAACUGAAUGAAACAACACGUGACUCUGAGGUCACCAGUGAAUAAACCUUCUGCCUGCUUCAUUCA